UACGUAGGGUGCAAGCGUUAAUCGGAAUUACUGGGCGUAAAGCGUGCGCAGGCGGUGAUGUAAGUCAGGUGUGAAAUCCCCGGGCUCAACCUGGGACCUGCAUUUGUGACUGCAUCGCUAGAGUACGGUAGAGGGGGAUGGAAUUCCGCGUGUAGCAGUGAAAUGCGUAGAUAUGCGGAGGAACACCGAUGGCGAAGGCAAUCCCCUGGACCUGUACUGACGCUCAUGCACGAAAGCGUGGGGAGCAAACAGG
Molecule: ribosomal RNA, 253 nt
Filed under: uncultured bacterium
Lineage: Bacteria
Description: partial 16S ribosomal RNA
Rfam family: Bacterial small subunit ribosomal RNA
Source: RNAcentral